GCCGAUGUAGCUCAGUUGGCAGAGCACUUGAUUUGUAAUCAGGCGGCCGUGGGUUCGAGUCCCUCCAUCGGCU
RNAcentral lists this transfer RNA (73 nucleotides) under Alistipes sp. RNAcentral describes it as "tRNA-Thr". It matches the Rfam family "tRNA". From Rfam's summary of the family: Transfer RNA (tRNA) molecules are approximately 80 nucleotides in length. Their secondary structure includes four short double-helical elements and three loops (D, anti-codon, and T loops). Further hydrogen bonds mediate the characteristic L-shaped molecular structure. tRNAs have two regions of fundamental functional importance: the anti-codon, which is responsible for specific mRNA codon recognition, and the 3' end, to which the tRNAs corresponding amino acid is attached (by aminoacyl-tRNA synthetases). tRNAs cope with the degeneracy of the genetic code in two manners: having more than one tRNA (with a specific anti-codon) for a particular amino acid; and 'wobble' base-pairing, i.e. permitting non-standard base-pairing at the 3rd anti-codon position. Lineage: Bacteria; Pseudomonadati; Bacteroidota; Bacteroidia; Bacteroidales; Rikenellaceae. RNAcentral also lists the same sequence under 1 other name. The record is from RNAcentral.